UACAGAGGGUGCAAGCGUUAUCCGGAUUUACUGGGCGUAAAGCGUGUGCAGGCUGUUCACCAAGUGGUGUAUGAAAGCGCUCGGCUCAACCGGGCAGGGGUAUGCCAGACUGGUGGACUAGAGACUGACAGAGGGUGGUGGAAUUCCGGGUGUAGUGGUGAAAUGCGUAGAGAUCCGGAGGAACCCCAGAGGCGAAGGCGGCCACCUGGGUCAGUUCUGACGCUCAGACACGAAAGCUAGGGGAGCGAACGGG
Molecule: ribosomal RNA, 253 nt
Filed under: uncultured bacterium
Lineage: Bacteria
Description: partial 16S ribosomal RNA
Rfam family: Bacterial small subunit ribosomal RNA
Source: RNAcentral